UUCUUUCAUGAUGUAAAGUUGUAAAUAGUUGCUUGUGGGAGAUUGGAAAUGGAACGAAGAUGGUUACAUACCAAGAACUGGAACAAACUGUGUUGUUCUACUCUCUGUUUUUGUUUCCUUAAGAACUAACUACAGUGUCUUGGUCUUUCUGGUUGACCUGGCAUUGUACAGAUAAAACCAUGAAGCAUGUAAAAUUGCUAAUCAGUGUGCCAGUAUGUCAUUGUAAAUGGAUAUCCCCAUAUUGAAAGGGAACGAGGAAGCAGAAUCCUACCCCGCUAGAAAGUAGAUUUUGCUAAAACUGAAUCACUAUUUCUUCUCUCUUGAUACAAAGGAAACACAGCACUCCUGCAUAUUCGAGGAAAAAAAACCGAAUCACUGCCCACCGAAUGUCAACUAAAACACAAUCAAAAUUGUUGAACUUAACGCCAAACCUUAGCUAAA
RNAcentral lists this long non-coding RNA (441 nucleotides) under Setaria italica (foxtail millet). RNAcentral describes it as "long non-coding RNA (SITA_LNC001522)". The record is from RNAcentral. Lineage: Eukaryota; Viridiplantae; Streptophyta; Magnoliopsida; Poales; Poaceae.